GACGAACGCUGGCGGCGUGCCUAAUACAUGCAAGUAGAACGCUGAAGGGAGGAGCUUGCUCUUCUUGGAUGAGUUGCGAACGGGUGAGUAACGCGUAGGUAACCUGCCUUGUAGCGGGGGAUAGCUAUUGGAAACGAUAGCUAAUACCGCAUAACAAUGGAUGACCCAUGUCAUUUAUUUGAAAGGGGCAAAUGCUCCACUACAAGAUGGACCUGCGUUGUAUUAGCUAGUAGGUGAGGUAACGGCUCACCUAGGCGACGAUACAUAGCCGACCUGAGAGGGUGAUCGGCCACACUGGGACUGAGACACGGCCCAGACUCCUACGGGAGGCAGCAGUAGGGAAUCUUCGGCAAUGGGGGCAACCCUGACCGAGCAACGCCGCGUGAGUGAAGAAGGUUUUCGGAUCGUAAAGCUCUGUUGUAAGUCAAGAACGAGUGUGAGAGUGGAAAGUUCACACUG
RNAcentral lists this ribosomal RNA (459 nucleotides) under Streptococcus salivarius. RNAcentral's name for it is "bacterial SSU rRNA". It matches the Rfam family "Bacterial small subunit ribosomal RNA", at positions 28 to 471 of the family's 1533-position model. Lineage: Bacteria; Bacillati; Bacillota; Bacilli; Lactobacillales; Streptococcaceae. The record is from RNAcentral.